GCGGGGGUCGCCUAGCCUGGGCAAGGGCGGCGGGCUCAAGACCCGCUGGCUUAGUGCCUUCGUGGGUUCAAAUCCCACCCCCCGCA
RNAcentral lists this transfer RNA (86 nucleotides) under Candidatus Aenigmatarchaeota archaeon. RNAcentral's name for it is "tRNA-Leu". It matches the Rfam family "tRNA". From Rfam's summary of the family: Transfer RNA (tRNA) molecules are approximately 80 nucleotides in length. Their secondary structure includes four short double-helical elements and three loops (D, anti-codon, and T loops). The record is from RNAcentral. Lineage: Archaea; Nanobdellati; Candidatus Aenigmatarchaeota.